UACUUACGUAUUAACGCCACCGCAGCUACAGAUUUGGCGGUUUAUUAAAAAAUAAAAAGUAGUUAGUCGCAUGUACUCAAGCGGGCGGCGGUUCGUGAUCGGUAUUCACGGCCCCGACUGUGCCCUACCUGGAGUACCUAUAUAUUUCAUGUCCGACGACCGAAGGGAGGAGAACGUUUGGCCUCGGGUCCGAGGGACGAGGACCGUGGCCGCAGGCUACCCGAGGCAAACAAACUCAAAUACCUUCCGAUUUAGGCGUAAAGUGAACGUUGAAACGUUAUUUGUAGUUUGUUUGCCUCUGGUGGCCCGCAGGGCCAACAAAAAAUUACCUGCAGGAAUCGA
Molecule: long non-coding RNA, 342 nt
Filed under: Androctonus crassicauda
Lineage: Eukaryota; Metazoa; Arthropoda; Arachnida; Scorpiones; Buthidae
Source: RNAcentral